RNAcentral lists this ribosomal RNA (554 nucleotides) under Salmonella enterica subsp. enterica serovar Enteritidis. RNAcentral describes it as "partial 23S ribosomal RNA". It matches the Rfam family "Bacterial large subunit ribosomal RNA", at positions 1 to 585 of the family's 2925-position model. Lineage: Bacteria; Pseudomonadati; Pseudomonadota; Gammaproteobacteria; Enterobacterales; Enterobacteriaceae. The record is from RNAcentral.
GGGUUGUGAGGUUAAGCGACUAAGCGUACACGGUGGAUGCCCUGGCAGUCAGAGGCGAUGAAGGGCGUGCUAAUCUGCGAUAAGCGCCGGUAAGGUGAUAUGAACCGUUAUAACCGGCGAUACCCGAAUGGGGAAACCCAGUGUGACUCGUCACACUAUCAUUAACUGAAUCCAUAGGUUAAUGAGGCGAACCGGGGGAACUGAAACAUCUAAGUACCCCGAGGAAAAGAAAUCAACCGAGAUUCCCCCAGUAGCGGCGAGCGAACGGGGAGGAGCCCAGAGCCUGAAUCAGCAUGUGUGUUAGUGGAAGCGUCUGGAAAGGCGCGCGAUACAGGGUGACAGCCCCGUACACAAAAGCGCAUGUGCUGUGAGCUCGAUGAGUAGGGCGGGACACGUGGUAUCCUGUCUGAAUAUGGGGGGACCAUCCUCCAAGGCUAAAUACUCCUGACUGACCGAUAGUGAACCAGUACCGUGAGGGAAAGGCGAAAAGAACCCCGGCGAGGGGAGUGAAAAAGAACCUGAAACCGUGUACGUACAAGCAGUGGGAGCCCCAC